Molecule: long non-coding RNA, 1575 nt
Organism: Cyprinodon tularosa
Lineage: Eukaryota; Metazoa; Chordata; Actinopteri; Cyprinodontiformes; Cyprinodontidae
Exons: 2
Source: RefSeq, a predicted model, not a curated record
AGAUGCAGGACUAUAAAUAGGAAGGGUUGAGCUUGCAGAGAUCAGAGUCUCUCUAAUGAGACCUCUGCAGCACAGGGAUCCAGACAUGGCACUUAAAAUCACUACAACCAUGACCAACUCUCUGGAGCAUCUGAUUCUGAACCACAAGGUCAAAACACCUCUAGUUAAAACGGUGGGGAUUCAGCAGCAUCAAGAAACUCAAGUCUCCUCUGUUCUUCAAAGCUGCCAGACUUGAAGCUUUUCUGAGAUGACUGCAAGCAUCCAGCCGUGGGCUCAGCAGCUGCUGAUCAGGGCUACUGCCGAUGCGUCCGGGAGGUUGGCCCUUCCUUUCAGAGCUCCAGAAAAGACUGUUAAACCCCCUUCAACAAGACGUGAUCUGAGGAGAACCUGAGGAAGGUGUAGCUGUCUUUAAAUUCGGACUACCACCUUCAGUAAAGAAAGGGGACCAGAAAAACAGCGCACCUUAGAGGUGUUGGAAGAGACUUACAGACUGGAUUCACUCAAAGACAUUUACUUUGCCAUAAUGGUAAAUAAUCAUUUGACUGAAUUAUAUUACGUUCUACGGACUUCCUUCUGAUGAACAGAAGACUUAUCUUUUGCAUUUAUUAUGCAUUUAAUUACCUUUCCUGUGGAAAAAUUAAUAAUAAUGUAUUUUUGGUAAAGAAAUAUGUGUACAUAGAAAAAAAUCUGAUUGCAUCUGCAAUUAUAGUUCCUUUGUGAUUUCAUUAUCACUGUAGAUUUCUGAUCAAAAUGAUCAAAUCUAAAAUCUUCUUACUCCUUUUCUAGGGAUAAGAUAUAUCAGUUAACUUAAACUGAGUAAGUCAAAGAUCUUUUUUGAGAUCUGAAUGAUCAUUAAUUGUUAAUGAUUUUACUGAAUUUGUGAAAUUCAAAAGAAUUUGAGGGAAAAACCUUUAUUCUUCUUAUUAGAACAUCAGCUGUUGUUACACAACAAAAAUAUUUGGGAUGGUUAAGGAAAAUUAAAGAAGACCAUAUUGGUUGAAGUGAACUUGAACAAACAUUUAAGAUCAUUUAAUUUGUUCAUCUGAAUAUCUUUUUGAUUGUUUCUUAGAUUUUCUGAGGAAUUGUGAAUAUCUCCCAUGACGAUAAGAAAACAUCUAUCUCAUAAUAGACCAUGUUGGUUUAAUUCAUACAGCAGACUUAUUUUUUCUGUAUCUACAGGAAGUUCAUUAACCACUUUCUUUCUAGAAGUUAUUAUAUUCCUUUUAAUAGAAAGGAGAUAUAUUCAAUCAAAGGCUUUCUUAUUGUAAAGAUUCCUUUGUGAAAUGUACUGAAUUGUGAUGCAUGACUAUGAACAUCUGAUCUGUUCUAAGGUCAGGUUUUUUAUUUGCCACUUCUGUGAAGUGCAGAUUUAAUACCAACGAUGUUUUCUAUGAAAAGAAAAAAAAUUUCUCGUGAUGAUUUAAGUCUUUUGUAAAGAUGGUCGUUCCUCCACUCACUAUGAGUAAAAUGUCUUGGAGAGUUAUCCAAGGAUCGUUCUGAUGUAUCAUCAUGCAUUUUGUCAUACGUUUUGAAUGACUUUGUUUUUAUUAAAAACAAAACUGCAACAAAAACCAA